RNAcentral lists this transfer RNA (73 nucleotides) under Entransia fimbriata. RNAcentral's name for it is "tRNA-Met". It matches the Rfam family "tRNA". Rfam says of the family: Transfer RNA (tRNA) molecules are approximately 80 nucleotides in length. Their secondary structure includes four short double-helical elements and three loops (D, anti-codon, and T loops). Lineage: Eukaryota; Viridiplantae; Streptophyta; Klebsormidiophyceae; Entransiales; Entransiaceae. The record is from RNAcentral.
GCCAGAAUGGAGUAAUGGUUAACUCACUAGGCUCAUAAUCUAGAGAUAUUGGUUCGAAUCCAACUUCUUGGCA